UACGGGGGGGGCAAGCGUUGUUCGGAAUUACUGGGCGUAAAGGGCUCGUAGGUGGCCAACUAAGUCAGACGUGAAAUCCCUCGGCUUAACCGGGGAACUGCGUCUGAUACUGGAUGGCUUGAGUUUGGGAGAGGGAUGCGGAAUUCCAGGUGUAGCGGUGAAAUGCGUAGAUAUCUGGAGGAACACCGGUGGCGAAGGCGGCAUCCUGGACCAACACUGACGCUGAUGAGCGAAAGCGUGGGGAGCAAACAGG
This 253-nucleotide ribosomal RNA is filed under the name uncultured bacterium. Its description in RNAcentral is "partial 16S ribosomal RNA". It matches the Rfam family "Bacterial small subunit ribosomal RNA", at positions 524 to 776 of the family's 1533-position model. The record is from RNAcentral.